This 492-nucleotide ribosomal RNA is filed under the name uncultured bacterium. RNAcentral describes it as "partial 16S ribosomal RNA". It matches the Rfam family "Bacterial small subunit ribosomal RNA", at positions 29 to 507 of the family's 1533-position model. The record is from RNAcentral.
AGUGAACGCUGGCGGUAGGCCUAACACAUGCAAGUCGAACGGCAGCACAGUAAGAGCUUGCUCUUACGGGUGGCGAGUGGCGGACGGGUGAGGAAUACAUCGGAAUCUACUUUUUCGUGGGGGAUAACGUAGGGAAACUUACGCUAAUACCGCAUACGACCUACGGGUGAAAGCAGGGGAUCUUCGGACCUUGCGCGAUUGAAUGAGCCGAUGUCGGAUUAGCUAGUUGGCGGGGUAAAGGCCCACCAAGGCGACGAUCCGUAGCUGGUCUGAGAGGAUGAUCAGCCACACUGGAACUGAGACACGGUCCAGACUCCUACGGGAGGCAGCAGUGGGGAAUAUUGGGCAAUGGGCGCAAGCCUGAUCCAGCCAUACCGCGUGGGUGAAGAAGGUCUUCGGGUUGUAAAGCCCUUUUGUUGGGAAAGAAAAGCAGCAGGUUAAUACCCCGAUGUUCUGACGGUACCCAAAGAAUAAGCACCGGCUAACUUCGUG